CCUACGGGAGGCAGCAGUGGGGAAUAUUGCACAAUGGGGGCAACCCUGAUGCAGCGACGCCGCGUGAGUGAAGAAGUAUUUCGGUAUGUAAAGCUCUAUCAGCAGGGAAGAAAAUGACGGUACCUGAUUAAGAAGCCCCGGCUAACUACGUGACAGCAGCCGCGGGAAAACGUAGGGGGCCAGCGUUAUCCGGAUUUACUGGGUGUAAAGGGAGCGUAGACGGCAACGCAAGUCUGAAGUGAAAUGCCGGGGCUUAACCCCGGAACGGCUUUGGAAACUGUGCAGCUAGAGUGAAGGAGAGGUAUGUGGAAUGCCUGGUGUAGCGGUGAAAUGCAUAGAUAUUAGGAGGAACACCAGUGGCGAAGGCGGCUUACUGGACUGUAACUGACGUUGAGGCUCGAAAGCGUGGGGAGCAAACAGGAUUAGAUACCCUUGUAGUC
RNAcentral lists this ribosomal RNA (440 nucleotides) under uncultured bacterium. RNAcentral describes it as "partial 16S ribosomal RNA". It matches the Rfam family "Bacterial small subunit ribosomal RNA", at positions 338 to 795 of the family's 1533-position model. The record is from RNAcentral.